This 253-nucleotide ribosomal RNA is filed under the name uncultured bacterium. RNAcentral describes it as "partial 16S ribosomal RNA". It matches the Rfam family "Bacterial small subunit ribosomal RNA", at positions 524 to 776 of the family's 1533-position model. The record is from RNAcentral.
UACGUAGGGGGCAAGCGUUGUCCGGAAUCAUUGGGCGUAAAGAGCGCGUAGGCGGCCCAGUAAGUCCGCUCUGAAAGUCAGGGGCUCAACCCCUGGAUGCGGGUGGAUACUGCUGGGCUAGAGUCCGGAAGAGGUGAGUGGAAUUCCUGGUGUAGCGGUGAAAUGCGCAGAUAUCAGGAGGAACACCGGUGGCGAAGGCGGAUCUCUGGGCCGAUACUGACGCUGAGGAGCGAAAGCGUGGGGAGCGAACAGG